This is a non-coding RNA of Biomphalaria pfeifferi, 1664 nucleotides long. The record is from the annotation of a GenBank genome assembly. NCBI's taxonomy places the organism in Eukaryota, Metazoa, Mollusca, Gastropoda, Planorbidae.
UGAAAUGGAAUCUUAUUUUAUCUAUUUAAUAGAUAAUUUAUCCUCAAUCUGCACAAUGGCUGUAUAAAAGUAAAAUUGUGAAAUGCUGAAGCAAACAAAUAUUCAUAGAUAGAGUGAUCUUUACUACAACUUUGAAUAGUUUUUCUUUAAAACCAUUUUUUUUUCAAAGCCUAUGCACUUAAAUGUUUUAUAGAUGGUUGAGGAAUUCAAAUAUUUUGGUACAAUUCAAACUUUUUUUUAAAGACAGAAUUUUUAAAAAUUUCAUUUCUUCCUGGUUUUCUAACCCUCUCACUGAAGCAUAUUUAUUUUUUAAAGGCCAGUAUGAUUAUUACCAAAGGGAGUUUUAGAAUACCUUCUAUAAGAAGAGCAAACGUAAGUCUAAAGAAAAACAGAACUAGUCUCCUUCUUCUUUGUAAAAAUAAUAAAUACAUUUCUCUUAUAAAAUAUAUUUAAAUGAAAAUAUGAUCAGAUAAUCUUGAUAUAAUAGAAUAAACAUUGAGGAUGAAACUUUUAAUUACUCUUGAUUUUGUGAAAAAAUUAAUAGCUAAAUAAAAGUAGCUGAAUAAAAAAUCAUAAUUCAUGGAGUAUCGAAUCGAUUUUACACAUGGUGUUGGAAAACUUAGCAAAAGAGUUUCUGGUUAUGAUUCCAAAGUAUCUGUAUACAAAUACAUUUUGCUGCAUUUUCUAAUAAAUAGUAGGUUUCAAUAACUUUAAAAGAAUUCCUAUCGAUGAGUUCAUCAAAAAACUACAAAACCAUUUUGGAGUGUUAUGUUUUUUUUUUUCUAAAAAGUACACAUUACUUUUCAAACUAAGCCUUCAUUGUAAAGUAAAAUUAUGCCAUGCACACUCAAGUAAAAAAAUAAGAACACAUAUACAAUAAGUUAUUGGCAUUGAAGGUCUGAAUACAAAUGUAAUAAUGUUAUUGUCACAAGACACAAAGAAGGCAAGAAACUAAGAACUAAUCUACAUGGGCUUCAUACACACAAUUGUGUAUGCCCAAGUAGAGGUCAAUGAGACUAAAAGCUAUCAUCUAGUCCUUAUUUUGUUCAUGUGCACAACAUAAAUUACACUGCAGUUUCAAUUAGAUCUAUAAAGUGUCAUGUCUUUGUGAAAACUGGAUGAUGUAAAUAUUUUAUUAUAGAUGAACCAAAACAAUAAUUCUGGAUUAAAGAUAAUUAAUCCAGUUUAUUUGGUUCUAAAAAUAAAUAAUGUCACAUUAAUUAUCUUUUAUAGACAAGUAUAUAGAAAACUUGUCAAUAAAAUUCAACUAUUUUUUGAGUUGCUACAAUUUUAGAUAAAACAAUUCAACAAAAUUUUAUCCAGUUAGCACAUCUUAGCAUUCAUUUGACUCUAGUUUUGUACUAUAUCAAGAAUGGACCUCAUUCACCAAUUGUAAACAAACAACAAUGAGCCACAUGCUUCCCUAUCUCUUCUAUACAGCUUACAAGAAAAUUCAAAUCAACAAUGGUUAUCACGAGACUGUUUUUUUUCUUUUAUUUAUCAAUGGUCAUCACAUAACCAUUCAUUUUGGUGAAUGAGGUCCAUUAUGUUUUAAAUAAUGUCAAAAUUUUUUUUUUUAAAUGUUAAUCAAAGUUUCUAUAUUUUUCCAUGACAGUUUCUAAUGUCUGUUGAGUGUUAAAGAUCUCGAGGAGGAGUCCUUGAUG